GGGCUCGUAGCUCAUCAGGGAGAGCGUCUGUCUUGCACACAGAAGGUGGCCGGUUCGAGUCCGGCCGGGUCCACGA
RNAcentral lists this transfer RNA (76 nucleotides) under Actinoplanes utahensis. RNAcentral describes it as "tRNA-Ala". It matches the Rfam family "tRNA". From Rfam's summary of the family: Transfer RNA (tRNA) molecules are approximately 80 nucleotides in length. Their secondary structure includes four short double-helical elements and three loops (D, anti-codon, and T loops). Further hydrogen bonds mediate the characteristic L-shaped molecular structure. tRNAs have two regions of fundamental functional importance: the anti-codon, which is responsible for specific mRNA codon recognition, and the 3' end, to which the tRNAs corresponding amino acid is attached (by aminoacyl-tRNA synthetases). tRNAs cope with the degeneracy of the genetic code in two manners: having more than one tRNA (with a specific anti-codon) for a particular amino acid; and 'wobble' base-pairing, i.e. permitting non-standard base-pairing at the 3rd anti-codon position. The record is from RNAcentral. Lineage: Bacteria; Bacillati; Actinomycetota; Actinomycetes; Micromonosporales; Micromonosporaceae.